UAAAACCAGCUCCCCGAGUGGUGGGGACGAUUAUUGGGCUUAAAGCGUCCGUAGCUCGCCUAGAAAGUCCCCCGUUAAAUCCAACGGCCCAACCGUUGGCCCGCGGGAGAUACUACUAGGCUAGGGAGCGGGAGAGGCCGACGGUAUUCCCGGAGUAGGGGCGAAAUCCUAUAAUCCCGGGAGGACCACCAGUGGCGAAGGCGGUCGGCUAGAACGCGUCCGACGGUGAGGGACGAAAGCUGGGGGAGCGAACCGGAUUAGAUACCCGGGUAGUCCCAGCUGUAAACGAUGCGGGCUAGGUGUUGGAGCGGCCACGAGCCGCUUCGGUGCCGAAGGGAAACCGUUAAGCCCGCCGCCUGGGAAGUACGGUCGCAAGGCUG
This 380-nucleotide ribosomal RNA is filed under the name uncultured archaeon. RNAcentral's name for it is "bacterial SSU rRNA". It matches the Rfam family "Archaeal small subunit ribosomal RNA", at positions 471 to 851 of the family's 1478-position model. The record is from RNAcentral.